UGGGGAAUAUUGGGCAAUGGGCGAAAGCCUGACCCAGCAACGCCGCGUGAAGGAAGAAGGUCUUCGGAUUGUAAACUUCUUUUAUAAGGGACGAAGGACGUGACGGUACCUUAUGAAUAAGCCACGGCUAACUACGUGCCAGCAGCCGCGGUAAUACGUAGGUGGCAAGCGUUGUCCGGAAUUACUGGGUGUAAAGGGAGUGUAGGCGGGAUUUUAAGUCAGAAGUGAAAAUUACGGGCUCAACUCGUAACCUGCUUUUGAAACUGAAAUUCUUGAGUGAAGUAGAGGCAAGCGGAAUUCCUAGUGUAGCGGUGAAAUGCGUAGAUAUUAGGAGGAACACCAGUGGCGAAGGCGGCUUGCUGGGCUUUUACUGACGCUGAGGCUCGAAAGCGUGGGGAGCAAACAGGAUUAGAUACCCUGGUAGU
RNAcentral lists this ribosomal RNA (425 nucleotides) under uncultured Clostridium sp. RNAcentral describes it as "bacterial SSU rRNA". It matches the Rfam family "Bacterial small subunit ribosomal RNA", at positions 355 to 794 of the family's 1533-position model. The record is from RNAcentral. Lineage: Bacteria; Bacillati; Bacillota; Clostridia; Eubacteriales; Clostridiaceae.